Oryza sativa Indica Group (long-grained rice) is the source of this 192-nucleotide microRNA precursor. It matches the Rfam family "MIR812 microRNA precursor family". NCBI's taxonomy places the organism in Eukaryota, Viridiplantae, Streptophyta, Magnoliopsida, Poales, Poaceae. The record is from Rfam.
AGAAAGACAAACUCUGGGUUUCUGUGUGUAACGUUUGGCUGUCCGUUUUAUAUGAAUUUUUUUUAUAAUCAGUAUUUUUAUUAUUGUUUUACGAUAAAACAUGAUUAAUGCUUUAUGCGUGAUUUCUCUUUUUAAUUUUUUAUAAUUUUUUUAAAUAAAACGGACGGUCAAACGUUAGAUAUGGAAACUAAG